GAUUAACGCUGGCGGCAUGCCUAAUACAUGCAAGUCGAACGGAAGCAGCAAUGCUUUAGUGGCGAACGGGUGAGUAACACGUAGGGAACCUACCUAUACGACGAGGAUAACUACUGGAAACGGUAGCUAAAACUGGAUAGGAUCAAUUGAGGCAUCCUGAUUGAUUUAAAGAUCCUUCGGGAUUACGUAGAGAUGGCCCUGCGGCGCAUUAGCUAGUUGGUGAGGUAACGGCCCACCAAGGCGACGAUGCGUAGCUGAGCUGAGAGGCUAAACAGCCACACUGGGACUGAGACACGGCCCAGACUCCUACGGGAGGCAGCAGUAGGGAAUUUUCGGCAAUGGGGGAAACCCUGACCGAGCAAUGCCGCGUGAACGAUGAAGGUCUUCGGAUUGUAAAGUUCUGUGAUUGGGGAAGAAUGGUAUUCUUAGGGAAUGAGGAGUACAUGACGGUACCCGAUUAGAAAGCCCCGGCUAACUACGUGCCAGCAGCCGCGGU
RNAcentral lists this ribosomal RNA (496 nucleotides) under uncultured bacterium. RNAcentral's name for it is "bacterial SSU rRNA". It matches the Rfam family "Bacterial small subunit ribosomal RNA", at positions 28 to 521 of the family's 1533-position model. The record is from RNAcentral.